Molecule: long non-coding RNA, 289 nt
Organism: Daphnia magna
Lineage: Eukaryota; Metazoa; Arthropoda; Branchiopoda; Diplostraca; Daphniidae
Exons: 2
Source: RefSeq, a predicted model, not a curated record
UUCCAGUGAAGCAACUGAAUUGUCAAUUUCAGACAUAAACAUGGCUGACGUAUUAUCUUCAACGAUGAUCAUUGAUGUAGAAGAUCAGGAAAACUCUGCCAAAUUACUUAGUCAGCUGAGGAACCUUGAAACAGAAAACACGGAGCUAAGAGAGAAAAAUCUUUGCGCUAAUAAGGAACUGGAAGCAGCAAAGGAGCCCAGUCUGGAUGAGUUUCUUCGUAUACAUCAUCACAUGGUUUACCUUCAAUGAACAAUAUAUACCAUGUAAUUACUUGUAACUAGAAGAGAA